This 669-nucleotide ribosomal RNA is filed under the name Triticum aestivum (bread wheat). RNAcentral's name for it is "partial small subunit ribosomal RNA". The record is from RNAcentral. Lineage: Eukaryota; Viridiplantae; Streptophyta; Magnoliopsida; Poales; Poaceae.
AUGGUUUUUAGAUUCCCUGAAGGCCUGAACCAACAAGAGGCAGCCCCUAUUAAUUUCCGGAGUGCUGAGUGUCCUGCGUAUGCACUCCUCCAUCAGGCAUGUCGUUGUUUACGUGAUUCGUAUCCAUCAUCAGACAACAACCGGCAGCUAGAGAAAUUCUCCUAUGCACGGGAGGUCCGGUGCAUGCAUGCGUCGUUGGUUCCGCUCGAGAUCCAUGCAUGCAAGCUAGCCUUCCUCGUUCAAGAAUCAAAUGCGCAACUCUAUAGCAGGCAGAAGGCGGCGGAGGCAAAGCUGUUUGAGCAGAUGAGGGUGGCUGAGGCGCGCAAGGCGCAGACCGACGCACACUUCGUGGAGCAGAAGAUGGCCGAGGACGGCAAGCUCUACGCGAAGCAGAAGGAGGCAGAGUCCGUGGGCUUGGUGGGCAAGGCCAAGACGGAGUACGUGGCGUCCAUGCUCCAGGCGCUCGGUGGCAACUACCACGCGCUCAGGGACUACCUCAUGAUCGACGGCGGCGUGUACGCCGAGAUGGCACGCAUCAACGCCGGCGCGGUCAACGGCAUGCAGCCCAAGAAUAGCAUCUGGAGCAACGGCGGUGGCGUGGACGGUGCCGGGAACGCGGCGGGAGAGGCCGCAGCUGGCAGCGCGCUGCAACAGGUGGCCGGGGUGUAG